AAUCCACUUAUCCACAUGCAAUGUUAGCACAGAACCCAGGCAGUCAUAGUAAGUGAUGCAAAUCCGUUCUGCAUGAACUACAAACAUCAGACACACAAUUGUUAUAGCUAAAUGAUAUCUAUAUUUUGUUGAGACUCUACACUAUAAAAGAACAUUGAUUAAUAUUACUACAAAUCAACUCCAGAGCUUGCUGGCCAACUGACUAAAGUUGAUUAUUCUGC
RNAcentral lists this long non-coding RNA (221 nucleotides) under Elaeis guineensis (African oil palm). RNAcentral's name for it is "long non-coding RNA (EGUI_LNC005538)". The record is from RNAcentral. Lineage: Eukaryota; Viridiplantae; Streptophyta; Magnoliopsida; Arecales; Arecaceae.